This 284-nucleotide unclassified non-coding RNA is filed under the name Exophiala equina. Its description in RNAcentral is "sequence contains 5.8S rRNA gene". The stretch from base 1 to 53 matches the Rfam family "5.8S ribosomal RNA", at positions 102 to 154 of the family's 154-position model. Lineage: Eukaryota; Fungi; Ascomycota; Eurotiomycetes; Chaetothyriales; Herpotrichiellaceae. The record is from RNAcentral.
GAACGCACAUUGCGCCCUUUGGUAUUCCGAAGGGCAUGCCUGUUCUAGCGUCAUUAUCACCCCUCAAGCCCUCGGCUUGGUGUUGGACGGUUUGGUGUAGGCCCCCUCGGGGGCUCCUGCCCCUCCCAAAGACAAUGACGGCGGCCUCGUUGGACCCCCGGUACACUGAGUUCUUCACGGGACACGUAUCGGACACAUGGGUUUACGGGACACGGUCUGCCUCCCCUCAGGGAGAAUCUUUCUAAGGUUGACCUCGGAUCAGGUAGGGAUACCCGCUGAACUUA